AAGGAGAAGUGCAGGGAGCCCAGAAUGAAGUGCGUUUCAGGGGCGCGUGGAAACGCCCAGGCGCGCAAGGGAGCAGCUCCGGCAGCGGCAGCGCAGCCUGAGACUGGAAGAAAGCAGCGGGUUGCAGUCCGGCUGGCUGGGGAUGGGACACGAAGCUUUCCAGCCAGUCAAGACAGUUUCAGUUUUAUGGAGAAACAAGAGCGUUUC
Non-coding RNA from Otolemur garnettii (small-eared galago), 207 nucleotides. The record is from Rfam. NCBI's taxonomy places the organism in Eukaryota, Metazoa, Chordata, Mammalia, Primates, Galagidae.